RNAcentral lists this long non-coding RNA (3165 nucleotides) under Canis lupus familiaris (dog). RNAcentral describes it as "lncRNA (ENSCAFG00805008766.1, ENSCAFG00845030854.1)". The record is from RNAcentral. Lineage: Eukaryota; Metazoa; Chordata; Mammalia; Carnivora; Canidae.
UAUUGCCUGCAUCUCAGGAAGCAGCAGCCCCCAGAGCAUCAAGGGGACGGCAACUGAUGUAAUCAGGAUCUCUAGGACAGAGAGGUGGCCAAGGAAAAAAUACAUGGGGGACUGCAGACGUUUAUCAACACAGACAAUCACGAUGAUGAGCAUAUUUCCCAUGACUGUCACUGAGUAGAGAAAGAAGAAAGUGGCAAAAAGAAUAUUGUGUUGUUCUUUGGAGCCAUGGAAGCCAAGUAGAUAAAAUUCAACAGCACUAGAAUAAUUCUUCAACAUUUAGUCCUGCGUCUUGUCUUUUAUGAAAUCUAAAAAACAAAGGGGAGUUCACAUGCUUCUAAAUUCAAAGGACUAAGUUUAUUCUCAGGCAGAGGAAAUAUCAUCUCUGCUCGUAGGCUCCACAUCAUGACAAGUGGAUUCAUCUUCUACUAUUCUCUGUACAAGGUUGAUGUUAAAUGUCUUAUGAAGAAAAUACAUAUGAAAAUACACACACACACAUAUAUAUAUGAAGAUGAGCAAUAAUUACCAAUACCACAUCCUAGGCAGGAAAACCUACCCACUCACCCCUGCAUGCACCCUAAUCUUUCUACUCACUGGCCCUUCUGCCUCCAACUCUGCUCUGACCUGCCACCCUGUCCACUUCCUGAUCACAAUGUGCUCGUUUAUACCACCAACCUUUCCCUAUUGAAUGCCCUAAACUAUCUUUUCUGCCUCUUACCUCCAUACCCUACAAAAUCCUGAGAAUCCCACCCAGAUAUGGUUACUUCUUUCCUUCCUCUCCUCUGAAUGUGGGCUCCAUUUGCCUUAGUUCACUUGAAGUUCUCACUUCAGUUAUCUUAAUCAUCAUUUCAGCCUGUCACUAGAGCCAGUUGGUAGGGAGGUGGGAUCUACCUGAAAAUUGUCAUAAAAUCAGAUCUAUAUUGAGACAAAGUAUUGAGUCUUUCCCUGUCUUCUGGGGAGUUGGCUCCCUGGAGUGGAGUAUCCACUUUCUUCCUCCUUGUUCUCAUCAUGAAAGCCAUCUCUGUGUCUCAUUUCAGUGACUGUGACUCCUCCUGGCAGGAAGAAUCUCAUUAGUUUCCAGUUGCUAACUUCUAGCUCUGAGAUUAUUCCUUUUGUCACCAGAUGAUAGCAGGGAGUAGGAGUCCAGAGGACUGAAGAGGAGGCUGGAACUUUCAUCCCCAACUGACAAUUUCCAUCCUGGCACCAAGAGACAAGAAAAUAAGCAACAUCCUCUGCCCUCCCUGUGUCUCAAAUCUCUAGUUUCAGCAAAGAGAUAAGACCGCCAAAAGGGCAGCCUGUCUCUAUUUACAACCAGCCAUGGUCUGCAUCCCAUGGAGAAGCUUGGAAAAGUCCCCAGAGACUAUCUGCUGUUUAUGUCCACCCAUUUUCUCCAGAGUCGUACCAAUAAGGAAAAGCAUAUCUGCUUAGUAUAUCUGGGUCCCUCCUCACCACAUGCAGGUCAUUGUUCAGAUGUCUCCAACCAGGAGCCCUCUCUAGUCACGCUCUCUAAAACAGUAUAAGCACAUCUUCACAUUCUAUCCUCCUAUUAGGCAGAACUUUCUUCUUAUUGGUUCUCACCAAUAGCUGAAAUUGAAGUACCUUUGUCUUUCUUGUUUACUACCACAUAUCCAGUGCCAAGAACAGUGUCUGACACAGGUUAUGUACUCUUUUCAUAUUUAUUCAAUAAAUUUAUCCAAACAAGUCAGUGAAUGCAUAAAGAGUAUCCACCCUGACCUGUUUUUCCUCCUGUUACAAAAUAAGACCCUCUCUUCACUCUUCACUAAAGCAUUGUCUGGUCAAUCUGUGCUCUCUCUCCCUGGAGAUCCCCUACAAAAUGGCAAGCUUACAUGAACAAGAAAUAAGGACAAAUGAGAGAGCAGGGUCUUAGGUCAUGACAGAGAGCUGUGUCUAUCACCAGCACUGAGAAGAGCUGAAUUGGGUCUCUGCUAUGGAGGGAGGAUUUUAUUUGAGCUCCUCCGUUACGCAGCUCCCCUAGCCCACGCUUCAUGCUCUAGUGAAGGUGUCCUCAUUUUAGACAGCAAUGAACCCCAGAACUUCCCAUGCUGAUCCUCCCUUACUCUUUCCUUCACAGACGGGAGCCCAGGCAGACACUCACCUCCAGAGAAAGGGUCUGAACUGGAAUGUUCUAUGGCUCUCCAGGGAUCAGCCUAGGCUACCUCCUUCCUGACUAGUACACAGCAUGCUCUGUGGCCCAGAGCAAGCUGCUGCUGUCCUCACUCUCAACACAGGAGAAAAUUGUCCCCAUACAAGUACUUAGAAAAAAAGUCCAAUAAUAAUAGUGCUCUGGAAUCCCAAUUGUCUCCUUCUGUCUCCCUCCCUCCUUCUUUCCUUCUCCUGUCAUCCCCUCAGAGAGUUAUUCACUGAGAAACUAAACUUGUCAAAUUCAGAGAAGCUCAAGGGAUGAAGUCAAGGAAAAGCCAGAGAAACUUUCACCUUUCCUCCCGAGACUAAUCAGAUUUAAAACAUGGAGAAGUUUUGUGUCAAGGGCAAACUUGAAGUCUCCUAGUCAGGGGUUUCUCAAUGCCCAGGCUGCCUUCUACCCAGUCCCCAAGUCCUGGUAAUCACCAAAUAGUCUGAGCUGUAAGCAGCCAGCCCCUGCUCUCUUCUGUGCCUCUACAUGUUGGACUCCCUGCUCAGCCAGGAGUCUGCUUCUUCCUCUCCCUUUGCACCCCCCACCCCUGUUGAUGCUCCCCGCACCAUGGUGCUUCUUUCCCCUCCCACUGCUGGUGCUCCCCCCUCCAUGAUGCUUUCUCAGCAAUCUUUCACUCUCUCAAAUAAAUCAAUAAAAUCUUUUUUUUUUUUAAAGUAGCCAACAACUAGCCUCUGUCAAAGAGUUUUUCAUCUGAAAGUUCUAAGAAUCCUACGUUACCCAACAAAUUUCUGCACUCCCCCUCUACAAGACACUCUCUGACUAUAGUUACCGAAACUCUGGUAAGAAAGAAAUAGGAUCUGCCCUGCAAACCAACUUCAGGAUCUGCUAAUGCCACAACCCGUUCCCAUCUCUGCAACACACACACACAAUUCCAACUGUGGCUCUUCAGCCACAGUUUCCUUUGUAGGUCUUCAAAUGCUAUCAGGGCACCUUCCUGAGCUACUUGAAGUGACAGGUAAGGGCAUAAGACCAACAUAGAGAACUGACAAAAAAAA